GGGUGAGUAACACGUGGGUAACCUACCUAUAAGACUCGGAAUAACUCCGGGAAACCGGGGCUAAUGCCGGAUAAUAUUUAGAACCGCAUGGUUCUAAAGUGAAAGAUGGUUUUACUAUCACUUAUAGAUGGACCCGCGCCGUAUUAGCUAGUUGGUGGGGUAAUGGCUUACCAAGGCAACGAUACGUAGCCGACCUGAGAGGGUGAUCGGCCACACUGGAACUGAGACACGGUCCAGACUCCUACGGGAGGCAGCAGUAGGGAAUCUUCCGCAAUGGGCGAAAGCCUGACGGAGCAACGCCGCGUGAGUGAUGAAGGUCUUCGGAUCGUAAAACUCUGUUAUUAGGGAAGAACAAAUGUGUAAGUAACUGUGCACGUCUUGACGGUACCUAAUCAGAAAGCCACGGCUAACUACGUGCCAGCAGCCGCGGUAAUACGUAGGUGGCAAGCGUUAUCCGGAAUUAUUGGGCGUAAAGCGCGCGUAGGCGGUUUCUUAAGUCUGAUGUGAAAGCCCACGGCUCAACCGUGGAGGGUCAUUGGAAACUGGGAAACUUGAGUGCAGAAGAGGAAAGUGGAAUUCCAUGUGUAGCGGUGAAAUGCGCAGAGAUAUGGAGGAACACCAGUGGGCGAAGGCGACUUUCUGGUCUGUAACUGACGCUGAUGUGCGAAAGCGUGGGGAUCAAAACAGGAUUAGAUACCCUGGUAGUCCACGCCGUAAACGAUGAGUGCUAAGUGUUAGGGGGUUUCCGCCCCUUAGUGCUGCAGCUAACGCAUUAAGCACUCCGCCUGGGGAGUACGACCGCAAGGUUGAAACUCAAAGGAAUUGACGGGGACCCGCACAAGCGGUGGAGCAUGUGGUUUAAUUCGAAGCAACGCGAAGAACCUUACCAAAUCUUGACAUCCUUUGACAACUCUAGAGAUAGAGUCUUCCCCUUCGGGGGACAAAGUGACAGGUGGUGCAUGGUUGUCGUCAGCUCGUGUCGUGAGAUGUUGGGUUAAGUCCCGCAACGAGCGCAACCCUUAAGCUUAGUUGCCAGCAUUAAGUUGGGCACUCUAAGUUGACUGCCGGUGACAAACCGGAGGAAGGUGGGGAUGACGUCAAAUCAUCAUGCCCCUUAUGAUUUGGGCUACACACGUGCUACAAUGGACAAUACAAAGGGCAGCUAAACCGCGAGGUCAUGCAAAUCCCAUAAAGUUGUUCUCAGUUCGGAUUGUAGUCUGCAACUCGACUACAUGAAGCUGGAAUCGCUAGUAAUCGUAGAUCAGCAUGCUACGGUGAAUACGUUCCCGGGUCUUGUACACACCGCCCGUCACACCACGAGAGUCUGUAACACCCGAAGCCGGUGGAGUAACCAUUUAUGGAGCUAGCCGUCGAAGGUGGACAAAUGAUUGGGGUGAAGUCGUAAC
Molecule: ribosomal RNA, 1406 nt
Filed under: Staphylococcus sp. KB33
Lineage: Bacteria; Bacillati; Bacillota; Bacilli; Caryophanales; Staphylococcaceae
Description: bacterial SSU rRNA
Rfam family: Bacterial small subunit ribosomal RNA
Source: RNAcentral